CCUACGGGUGGCAGCAGUAGGGAAUAUUGCUCAAUGGGGGAAACCCUGAAGCAGCAACGCCGCGUGGAGGAUGAAGGUCUUCGGAUUGUAAACUCCUUUUGUUAGAGAAGAUAAUGACGGUAUCUAACGAAUAAGCACCGGCUAACUCCGUGCCAGCAGCCGCGGUAAUAGGGAGGGUGCAAGCGUUACUCGGAAUCACGGGGCGUAAAGAGCGCUUAGGCGGGGUAGCAAGUCAGAUGUGAAAUCCUAUGGUUUAACCAUAGAACUGCAUUUGAAACUGUUGUUCUAGAGUAUGGGAGUGGUAGGUGGAAUUCUUGGUGUAGGGGUAAAGUCCGUAGAGAACAAAGGGAAUACUCAUUGCGAGGACGACCUGCUAGAACGUAACUGACGCUGAUGCGCGAGAGCGUGGGGAGCAAACAGGAUUAGAUACCCCAGUUC
This 438-nucleotide ribosomal RNA is filed under the name uncultured bacterium. RNAcentral describes it as "partial 16S ribosomal RNA". It matches the Rfam family "Bacterial small subunit ribosomal RNA", at positions 338 to 796 of the family's 1533-position model. The record is from RNAcentral.